Molecule: long non-coding RNA, 195 nt
Organism: Sphaeramia orbicularis (orbiculate cardinalfish)
Lineage: Eukaryota; Metazoa; Chordata; Actinopteri; Kurtiformes; Apogonidae
Exons: 3
Source: RefSeq, a predicted model, not a curated record
UAGAAAUGGACUUAUCUAUUUACGUACGUAAAGUGAGCAUAAAUGAGCCUUAAAGCUCUACAUCAGUUCCCAGUUACGUUUCGGCACACAGCUGGGCUCUGCAUCUGAACCGUACUGUGAACCGUGACUCAAGAACCGCAAUACGUACCGAACCGUGGAUAACCUGUACUGCUGCAUCCCUAUGAUUUACUUUGU